Molecule: long non-coding RNA, 895 nt
Organism: Arachis duranensis
Lineage: Eukaryota; Viridiplantae; Streptophyta; Magnoliopsida; Fabales; Fabaceae
Exons: 3
Source: RefSeq, a predicted model, not a curated record
GACCUGUCCAGCCGCCGUGCCCAGUCGCCGCUCGCGUUGCCGGCGCCGUCUCCGUCUGAACCGUCGCCAGAUCCGCCACUGCUGAAGCUUCUGGCCGCGCCUCUGCGUCGCCGGAGCUCCACGUCGCCGCCACUGCCACCAAAAACCACCAUUGAGGCCUAAGUCUGUUUGGGAUCGAGUUACGGGUCUUGAUUGCUGAGCUCUAUGGCUGCUGCAUACAGCAUCAAGGUGCUGCGUCGUCAUUGGCUGCUGUUGCUCCGUUUUCUCGAUCAUUUGUGAGCCCAGUAAGUCGUUCCUUGUUCCAAACUCUUUUAGCUGAUGUUCUGUUAUAGAUUAUUGAGUUUUACGCGACAUUAAUGUUUUAGGAUUGAGCUAAGGCUGUGUUUAGAGGCUGUGGCUGCGGCUGGAACGGUCGGUGUUGAUGCUAUUGUUGUGGGAUAAGAAUAGAAAUGCAGUUUGUCGCGUAGUUGAAUCGAGAAUGAGCUUUACCUUUUCAGGAACCGGAUGAAGAAGCGUUAUACUGCGUUUGGUUGAUAUGUUGUUGUAUUAAUUAGAUUAUUUUAUUCCCUCGUUUUUGUUAUUACAAAUUUGUAAGAGGGAUAGGAAUUAUAUGUUUUAUAUGUAUAUUAUAUUAUGAGUUAUUAUGUAAGGAGUCUUGUAUAUGAAUCUAUGCCUGUUUGUAUUUUUAUUAAGAUAAAGUGUUUAUUUCCAGUUUUCAAGGAAAUCAGCGAUACAGUGUCGAGUCACAGGCUCCUAUUUUAGUAUUUAGUAUGUAAAGUAGUCGUAGUACUCCUUGCUAUCAGAGUGGCGCAGCCAGAAGCGUGUCUUCUGAUAGUGAGGGUGUUACAAAUUACAGCUAAAUAAAAAUUAUCAAACCAAAUUAUAUCCUCGUUAA